Molecule: long non-coding RNA, 227 nt
Organism: Dermacentor silvarum
Lineage: Eukaryota; Metazoa; Arthropoda; Arachnida; Ixodida; Ixodidae
Exons: 2
Source: RefSeq, a predicted model, not a curated record
UUUUAUGUAACCUGAUUUAUUGGGCUCUCGGCGUAUUCUUGCGUUCCUUCUGCACUGGGGCAAGACACCACUGCACUAUUGGACUACGGCAAGCUGGUGCCGUCCGGUGGAGCUUCAUACAGGAACUACUGCCUUACCUGCUGGGGUCACAACGUUGUAUGAAUGCACAAAAAGCGCGGAACGAGCUUUUAUAUAGAGCCAAAUAAAUAUUUCCUCAUUGCACAAAA